GCAACUGCAGAAAAUAAUUUUGGCUUAUCCCUUUCUCCAAACAGACUAUAUAUAAUUUUUAAUAUCUGAAUUUUAAAGGCAAAGACCAGGAUGGUUGAGGAUUUGUUAAUGACUUAACAUAUUUAGUAUAAAUACUGCUCUAUGAAUCACUAUACUGGUAGGAGCAGGAAGAAGUGGGGAGAUGGAUAAGAGAAAAUUGGAGAGUAGGUGGGAGAAAAAGAGGAAUGUGUGGGCUGUUUGAGAAUGUUUCAGGCAAGCACCUGGGGUAAGGUGCAUCUCAAACCCAUGCUGAUUCUUCAUCAUGAUAACAGAAGAGGUUUCUGGUAAGGCAGAGAAAAGCAAGUGAUGCUGUUAACAUUCUAUCCACCAGAGUGAUGCUAAAAGAGAAGCAACCUCAUCCACAGCCAAUAUGUGUUGAGUGCCUGCCAUACGCCUAGCCCUGCUAUAGGCACUUGGGAUUCAGCUUCCCAACUUAUGGAGUUUCCAUUCUAUGGGGAAUAUAGGCAAAAGAGAAAUUAAAAGCCCUGUUACAUUGAUUUUGUGGCUUCUCCUAUCCCUCAUU
Molecule: non-coding RNA, 562 nt
Filed under: Pongo abelii (Sumatran orangutan)
Lineage: Eukaryota; Metazoa; Chordata; Mammalia; Primates; Hominidae
Source: RNAcentral